GCGGGCAUCGUAUAAUGGUAUUACCUCAGAUUUCCAAUCUGAUGAUGUGGGUUCGAUUCCCCCUGCCCGCUCCA
This 74-nucleotide transfer RNA is filed under the name Minisyncoccota bacterium. RNAcentral describes it as "tRNA-Gly". It matches the Rfam family "tRNA". From Rfam's summary of the family: Transfer RNA (tRNA) molecules are approximately 80 nucleotides in length. Their secondary structure includes four short double-helical elements and three loops (D, anti-codon, and T loops). Further hydrogen bonds mediate the characteristic L-shaped molecular structure. tRNAs have two regions of fundamental functional importance: the anti-codon, which is responsible for specific mRNA codon recognition, and the 3' end, to which the tRNAs corresponding amino acid is attached (by aminoacyl-tRNA synthetases). tRNAs cope with the degeneracy of the genetic code in two manners: having more than one tRNA (with a specific anti-codon) for a particular amino acid; and 'wobble' base-pairing, i.e. permitting non-standard base-pairing at the 3rd anti-codon position. The record is from RNAcentral. Lineage: Bacteria; Bacillati; Minisyncoccota.